GCCCGUUUAGCAUAGUCGUUAUUGCGCGGCACUUGUAAUGCCGAGGUCGCUAGUUCAAAUCUGGCAACGGGCA
This 73-nucleotide transfer RNA is filed under the name Uromyces viciae-fabae. Its description in RNAcentral is "tRNA-Thr (TGT) (tRNA-Thr-TGT-2-1)". It matches the Rfam family "tRNA". Rfam says of the family: Transfer RNA (tRNA) molecules are approximately 80 nucleotides in length. Their secondary structure includes four short double-helical elements and three loops (D, anti-codon, and T loops). The record is from RNAcentral. Lineage: Eukaryota; Fungi; Basidiomycota; Pucciniomycetes; Pucciniales; Pucciniaceae. RNAcentral also lists the same sequence under 7 other names.